Molecule: ribosomal RNA, 496 nt
Filed under: uncultured bacterium
Lineage: Bacteria
Description: partial 16S ribosomal RNA
Rfam family: Bacterial small subunit ribosomal RNA
Source: RNAcentral
AACGAACGCUGGCGGCGCGUCUUAAGCAUGCAAGUCGAACGGCAAGAGAGGAGCUUGCUUCUCUCCUAGAGUGGCGGACUGGUGAGGAACACGUGGGUAAUCUACCCUUAAGAUGGGGAUAGCUGCUAGAAAUAGCAGGUAAUACCGAAUACACUCGGCAUAUCACAAGAGGUGUUGAGGAAAGGAAGCUACGGCUUCGCUUGAGGAUGAGCUUGCGUCCCAUUAGCUAGUUGGUGAGGUAAAGGCCCACCAAGGCGACGAUGGGUAUCCGGCCUGAGAGGGUGGACGGACACAUUGGGACUGAGAUACGGCCCAAACUCCUACGGGAGGCAGCAGCUAAGAAUAUUCCGCAAUGGACGGAAGUCUGACGGAGCGACGCCGCGUGGAUGAAGAAGGCUGAAAAGUUGUAAAAUCCUUUUGUUGAUGAAGAAUAAGGGUGAGAGGGAAUGCUCAUCUGAUGACGGUAAUCGACGAAUAAGCCCCGGCUAAGUACGUG